This 165-nucleotide ribosomal RNA is filed under the name uncultured bacterium. Its description in RNAcentral is "partial 16S rRNA". It matches the Rfam family "Bacterial small subunit ribosomal RNA", at positions 355 to 511 of the family's 1533-position model. The record is from RNAcentral.
UAGGGAAUCUUCCACAAUGGACGGAAAGUCUGAUGGAGCAACGCCGCGUGAGUGAAGAAGGGUUUCGGCUCGUAAAACUCUGUUGUUAAAGAAGAACAUAUCUGAGAGUAACUGUUCAGGUAUUGACGGUAUUUAACCAGAAAGCCACGGCUAACUACGUGCCAC